UGAGAAUCAAAGAUGGACCUUGCUCGGA
RNAcentral lists this non-coding RNA (28 nucleotides) under Mus musculus (house mouse). Lineage: Eukaryota; Metazoa; Chordata; Mammalia; Rodentia; Muridae. The record is from RNAcentral.